CCUACGGGUGGCAGCAGUGGGGAAUAUUGGACAAUGGGCGAAAGCCUGAUCCAGCCAUGCCGCGUGUGUGAAGAAGGCCUUCGGGUUGUAAAGCACUUUCAGUGGGGAAGAAAGCCUUGGGGCUAAUACCCUCGAGGAAGGACAUCACCCACAGAAGAAGCACCGGCUAACUCCGUGCCAGCAGCCGCGGUAAUACGGAGGGUGCGAGCGUUAAUCGGAAUUACUGGGCGUAAAGCGCGCGUAGGCGGUCUGAUAAGCCGGUUGUGAAAGCCCCGGGCUCAACCUGGGAACGGCAUCCGGAACUGUCAGGCUAGAGUGCAGGAGAGGAAGGUAGAAUUCCCGGGGUAGCGGUGAAAUGCGUAGAGAUCGGGAGGAAUACCAGUGGCGAAGGCGGCCUUCUGGACUGACACUGACGCUGAGGUGCGAAAGCGUGGGUAGCAAACAGGAUUACAUACCCCGGUAGUC
RNAcentral lists this ribosomal RNA (465 nucleotides) under Vreelandella stevensii. Its description in RNAcentral is "partial 16S ribosomal RNA". It matches the Rfam family "Bacterial small subunit ribosomal RNA", at positions 338 to 795 of the family's 1533-position model. The record is from RNAcentral. Lineage: Bacteria; Pseudomonadati; Pseudomonadota; Gammaproteobacteria; Oceanospirillales; Halomonadaceae.